AUUGAACGCUGGCGGCAGGCCUAACACAUGCAAGUCGAACGAGUGGCGGACGGGUGAGUAAUGUAUGGGAAACUGCCCGAUAGAGGGGGAUAACUACUGGAAACGGUGGCUAAUACCGCAUACCAUCGGAUGUACCCAGAUGGGAUUAGCUAGUAGGUGGGGUAACGGCUCACCUAGGCGACGAUCCCUAGCUGGUCUGAGAGGAUGACCAGCCACACUGGAACUGAGACACGGUCCAGACUCCUACGGGAGGCAGCAGUGGGGAAUAUGGCACAAUGGGCGCAAGCCUGAUGCAGCCAUGCCGCGUGUAUGAAGAAGGCCUUAGGGUUGUAAAGUACUUUCAGCGAGGAGGCGUUACUCGCAGAAGAAGCACCGGCGAACUCCGUGCCAGCAGCCGCGGUAAUUC
This 406-nucleotide ribosomal RNA is filed under the name uncultured bacterium. RNAcentral describes it as "partial 16S ribosomal RNA". It matches the Rfam family "Bacterial small subunit ribosomal RNA", at positions 30 to 526 of the family's 1533-position model. The record is from RNAcentral.